CCCCUAGAUGUUCUGGGCCGCACGCGCGCUACACUGAACAGUUCAACAAGUCUUAACCUUGGCCGAUAGGUCUGGGUAAUCUUUGAACGCUGUUCGUGAUUGGGAUAGACCUUUGCAAUUAUGGGUCUUCAACGAGGAAUUCCUAGUAAACGCAAGUCAUCAGCUUGCAUUGAUUACGUCCCUGCCCUUUGUACACACCGCCCGUCGCACCUACCGAUUGAAUGGUCCGGUGAAGCCUCGGGAUUGUGGCUGGUUUCCUUUAUUGGAGGUCGGUUGCGAGAACUUGUCUAAACCUUAUCAUUUAGAGGAAGGUGAAGUCGUAACA
This 325-nucleotide ribosomal RNA is filed under the name uncultured eukaryote. Its description in RNAcentral is "partial 18S ribosomal RNA". It matches the Rfam family "Eukaryotic small subunit ribosomal RNA", at positions 1470 to 1796 of the family's 1831-position model. The record is from RNAcentral.